GAACUAUAGAGUUUGAUCCUGGCUCAGAUUGAACGCUGGCGGCAUGCUUUACACAUGCAAGUCGAACGGUAACAGGUCUUCGGAUGCUGACGAGUGGCGAACGGGUGAGUAAUACAUCGGAACGUGCCUAGUAGUGGGGGAUAACUACUCGAAAGAGUAGCUAAUACCGCAUGAGAUCUACGGAUGAAAGCAGGGGACCUUCGGGCCUUGUGCUACUAGAGCGGCUGAUGGCAGAUUAGGUAGUUGGUGGGGUAAAGGCUUACCAAGCCUGCGAUCUGUA
RNAcentral lists this non-coding RNA (280 nucleotides) under Brugia timori. Its description in RNAcentral is "Bacterial small subunit ribosomal RNA". It matches the Rfam family "Bacterial small subunit ribosomal RNA", at positions 1 to 285 of the family's 1533-position model. Lineage: Eukaryota; Metazoa; Nematoda; Chromadorea; Rhabditida; Onchocercidae. The record is from Rfam by way of RNAcentral.